ACCUCGUGUCAAAAAUAACUCAACAGAUAAAUUGCACGUCUCCAUCGCACACAUUAGGGGUUGUUACUGUUUGAUGUGCUUGUUGUUACUUCGGUGUAUCAAUUUGCCAAUUUCAUGUUUCUAGGGAGGCACUAAAUAAUUUUUUUUCUUUAUUUCUGUCAAUCACGGAGAGAAGACUGAUAGAACAGCGUCUGUGAUGUUGUCAGUCGGCCCAGCUCUUCCAGAAACAUCCGCGCCAUUUCAGCGUUCGAGGAUUACUGCUCAGAGGGCCCUAAAUUUGAGAAGUGCUGACUGGCGCAGUAUAUUGGUGUACUGGUGCUAACGAAGCCCGAUAUCAUUUCAAAUGCUCUUGAAACUCCACCAGAAAAAAUGGUUGAAGGAAGAAAAGGUGGUCUGCAAUAAAGAUUCUACGUGACACCAAUUGUAGAUUUGCCCGUGGUACCUUCAUCCUAACCCUACCGUGUCUGUAGCCUUUCAGAGGGAGGACAACAAUGCUUGACUGGCAGACACUUUUAUCCAGAGCAACUUGCACUGCAAGUGUGCAUAUAAGGGAUUGAAGUACAGUAAUUCCCCAGAGGUGGAGACUACGGUUACAAGAGAGACAGCAAGUGCAAGCACAGACUUGAUUGACAGCUUGUCAACUACCCUAUUCAACAGUAAACUAAGUUGUACAAACGAGUGUUGAGCUGCAUUACAUGAGCAACGGCAAAGACUCCCAAGCUGUAAGAUAGAAGUCACACACAAUCAGCGGUUAGUUUGAGCUGAGGUGCCGUGGUACAGUUUAAAAUGGUGGGUCUUCAGUGACUACCUGACUACCUGGGUGGCUGCUACAAGACCAGGUGAUCACCAAUGAACUAUGUUUCUAAUGACAUGAUACCCACACAGUACCAAUAACCUCAAAUCAGAAAGAUUUAAACUGGCUUCUCAUUAACCGAUCAUGUUUACAAUGCUCUGAAUUUUUUACAGUUUAAUUGGUCAGGAUCACUCCUACACAACAUGCCUGCCAGCAAAAGACUCAUAGGGCAGGAAAGAAAUAAUGCUUGUUGAGAACCUUCAUUACACCUUCAACUCAUUAAAGAGUUACUACCAAUCCAUGUAGACCAGACCUGUUGAAGAAACACCCCAGUGGAUUUGGGAGUCUUUGUGUCAGUAUGAGUCGAUUGUGUCUCUUGCGAUUGAUAAUUUGCGAAACCCCGCAAAUUAUCAAUCCCGAGAGGGUCAGAAUUGCUCGAUGGUUACCCCUCCUCAGAUGGGACGGAUUUGCUAAAGUAAAUACAUUCAAGACAGGAAGUCAAUAGUCUUCAUGUUUCAUGAAAUGUUACAGUUGACAUCUUUUGGCAAAUCCAAAAAAACAAAAAAAACUUUGAACUUGAGGAACACGCUCAUGCAAUUAUGUUCUAUCUUCUCAUCUCCUCAGUACCAUACCAGUAUUUUACAUUUAAAUGCAGGUUUUGUGUCAUAAAAAUUGCUAUUCGUAUUUUUGGUGUAAUAUCGCUGCUAUUCCAGUCUAUGGCUUUAACAUUUAGCCCUAGCUGGUGACUGGGUCCCAUCAUGACCUAUCAGUGUCACGCUGGUGCAGUCACAGUGGAGAGGGAAAACACAAAACGCGACUUUGUCUGAAGUCCUUCUAUUUUUGGGUUUGUUUUUGGUCACUCGCAUUUGUCAGCAGCCUAAUCAAUGUGGCUUCAGUGCGGACGUGGGCGGCUUGUUACUCCUUUUAGUUAUUUGGAAAGGACACGCGCCCGUUACUCAGUCCGACCCCCCAGCUUUCUGCUCACGUCAGAUUUUCCUGCCGGUGCUUACUCCCCCAUUCAGCAGCGCCACGCGCCUGAGUCAUUGUUAUUUAUUUCAUUACAUAAUUAUGAGUCUGUGCCUCAUUCAUUAUUCAUGUUUGGCUCCGCCUCUUUUGUCUUUUGGUUUGGAUGUGCGCAUCCACUGGUAGGGGGGGUGUCACAACAGGAGGCUGU
Anguilla rostrata (American eel) is the source of this 1967-nucleotide long non-coding RNA. RefSeq lists it as uncharacterized. The record is from RefSeq and is a predicted model, not a curated record. Lineage: Eukaryota; Metazoa; Chordata; Actinopteri; Anguilliformes; Anguillidae. The transcript is spliced from 2 exons.